This 496-nucleotide ribosomal RNA is filed under the name uncultured bacterium. RNAcentral's name for it is "partial 16S ribosomal RNA". It matches the Rfam family "Bacterial small subunit ribosomal RNA", at positions 28 to 506 of the family's 1533-position model. The record is from RNAcentral.
GAUGAACGCUGGCGGCGUGCCUAAUACAUGCAAGUCGAGCGAACAGACGAGGAGCUUGCUCCUCUGACGUUAGCGGCGGACGGGUGAGUAACACGUGGAUAACCUACCUAUAAGACUGGGAUAACUUCGGGAAACCGGAGCUAAUACCGGAUAAUAUAUUGAACCGCAUGGUUCAAUAGUGAAAGACGGUUUUGCUGUCACUUAUAGAUGGAUCCGCGCCGCAUUAGCUAGUUGGUAAGGUAACGGCUUACCAAGGCAACGAUGCGUAGCCGACCUGAGAGGGUGAUCGGCCACACUGGAACUGAGACGCGGUCCAGACUCCUACGGGAGGCAGCAGUAGGGAAUCUUCCGCAAUGGGCGAAAGCCUGACGGAGCAACGCCGCGUGAGUGAUGAAGGUCUUCGGAUCGUAAAACUCUGUUAUUAGGGAAGAACAAAUGUGUAAGUAACGAUGCACGUCUUGACGGUACCUAAUCAGAAAGCCACGGCUAACUACGU